This 400-nucleotide long non-coding RNA is filed under the name Cricetulus griseus (Chinese hamster). RNAcentral describes it as "lncRNA (ENSCGRG00015034380.1)". Lineage: Eukaryota; Metazoa; Chordata; Mammalia; Rodentia; Cricetidae. The record is from RNAcentral.
GAAGAGAGAGUCCUCUAAACAGCAUCUCCCACAGAGUCCCAAGGAUUUCCAGUACCUCAACCCAAAAUUGUGUCUCCUAGGUGAUUCCAAGCCCAUCGCGUUGACGGUGAAGACUAACCAUCUCAGUUCACAGCUAGAAGAUGAGACACCAGCCUCACCAUUCCCUUCAAAGACGCAUCGCCUGUGGCACCCCUCCCCCAUUCAAAGACGCAUCGCCUGUGACACCACCUCUCCCCCAUUCAAAGACGCAUCACUUGUGACACCCCUCCCCCAAACAUCCACCAUUUAUCUAAUGCCAUGCUGGGAAGCAAGCCUUUAUUACACAGGCCUUUAGGGGACCGGAUGGAGUAGCUAUGUAAUAAAAGUUUGUCCGUGCCCUGAGCAUGUGUAUAGCAUUGAG